This 1060-nucleotide ribosomal RNA is filed under the name Lysinibacillus sp. RNAcentral describes it as "bacterial SSU rRNA". It matches the Rfam family "Bacterial small subunit ribosomal RNA". Lineage: Bacteria; Bacillati; Bacillota; Bacilli; Caryophanales; Bacillaceae. The record is from RNAcentral.
AGUACCGGUUAGUAACCUGGGUUGGUGCCUUGGCCGGGUACCCAUAAGUAAGAAAACCCCAGGGGCUAAAUUUACUGUCCCGCNCAGCCCGGGGUAAAUAGAUAGGUGGCCAAGNUUUGUCCGGAAUUUAUUGGGGUGUAAAGCGCGCGCAGGGUNNUUUUCUUAAUGUCNUAUGUGAAAGCCCCAGGGUCUCACCCGGUGGAGGGCUCAUUGNAAAUUGGGGAGAUUUGAUGUGCAGAGAGAGGAUAGUGGAAUUCCCAGAGUGUAGAGGUGAAAUGUGUAGAGAUUGGGAGGAACACCAGUGGCGAAGGAGACUAUUUGGUCUGUAAUUGCCAUGGAGCCGCGAAAGCGUGGGGAGCAACCAGGUUUGGAUACCUUGUUAGUCCACGCCGUAAAGGAUGAGUGUUAAUUGUUAGGGGGUUUCCGCCCGUUAGUGCGGCAGCUAACGCAUUAAUCACUCGGCUUGGGGAGUACGGUGGCAAGAUUGAAAUUCAAAGAAAUUGAGGGGGGCCGGCCCAACCGGUGGAGAUUGUGGUUUAAUUGGAAGCAACGGGAAGACCCUUCCCAGCUCUUGCCAUCCCGUUGACCUCCGUAGAGAUAUGGUUUCCCUCUUCGGGGGCAACGGUGACAGGUGCUGCAUGGUUGUCGUCAGCUGUUGUCAUGAGAUGUUGGGUUAAGUCCCGCAACGACCGCCACCCUCGAUAUUAGUCACCAUCAUUUAGUUGGGCAUUUUAAGAUGACUCCGGGUGCCAACCCGGAGGAAGGUGGGGAGGACGUCAGUUCUUCAUGCCCUUUAUGCCAUGGGUUCCCCACUUGUUCCAAUGUAGGAUCCGAGGGGUUCACACCUCGGGAGAUGAAGCUAUUCCGAUAACGUUGUUUCCAUUUGGGAUGGUAUGUUGAAAUUGGCUUACAGGAAUCGGGAAUCGUUGGUAUUGCAGGUUCAGCAUGCUGCGGUGAAUACGUUCCCGGGCCUUGUACACACCGCCCGUCACACCAUGAGAGUUUGUAGCACCAGAAGUAGGUGAGGUAACCUUCUGGAGCCAGCCUUGCCCAAGGUUGG